AACGAACGCUGGCGGCAUGCCUAAUACAUGCAAGUCGAACGAAGGCUUCGGCCUUAGUGGCGCACGGGUGCGUAACGCGUGGGAAUCUACCCUUGGGUUCGGAAUAACAGUUAGAAAUGACUGCUAAUACCGGAUGAUGACGUAAGUCCAAAGAUUUAUCGCCCAAGGAUGAGCCCGCGUAAGAUUAGCUAGUUGGUGAGGUAAAGGCUCACCAAGGCUACGAUCUUUAGCUGGUCUGAGAGGAUGAUCAGCCACACUGGGACUGAGACACGGCCCAGACUCCUACGGGAGGCAGCAGUAGGGAAUAUUGGACAAUGGGCGAAAGCCUGAUCCAGCAAUGCCGCGUGAGUGAUGAAGGCCU
This 361-nucleotide ribosomal RNA is filed under the name uncultured bacterium. Its description in RNAcentral is "bacterial SSU rRNA". It matches the Rfam family "Bacterial small subunit ribosomal RNA", at positions 29 to 417 of the family's 1533-position model. The record is from RNAcentral.